This 254-nucleotide ribosomal RNA is filed under the name uncultured bacterium. Its description in RNAcentral is "partial 16S ribosomal RNA". It matches the Rfam family "Bacterial small subunit ribosomal RNA", at positions 524 to 776 of the family's 1533-position model. The record is from RNAcentral.
GACGAACCGUGCGAACGUUAUUCGGAAUCACUGGGCUUAAAGCGCGUGUAGGCGGGACGGCACGUCGGUCGCUGAAAGCCCCCGGCUCAACCGGGGAACGGGCGCCGAUACGACCGGCCUGGAGGGACGUAGGGGGACCUGGAACUUCCGGUGGAGCGGUGAAAUGCGUUGAGAUCGGAAGGAACGCCCGUGGCGAAAGCGAGGUCCUGGACGUUUUCUGACGCUGAGGCGCGAAAGCUAGGGGAGCAAACGGG